GGUUGCGAUCAUACCAGUACUAAUGCACCGGAUCCCAUCAGAACUCCGCAAUUAAGCGUGCUUGGGCGAGAGUAGUACUAGGAUGGGUGACCUCCUGGGAAGUCCUCGUGUUGCACACC
RNAcentral lists this ribosomal RNA (119 nucleotides) under Corchorus capsularis. The record is from RNAcentral. Lineage: Eukaryota; Viridiplantae; Streptophyta; Magnoliopsida; Malvales; Malvaceae.